CAUUCAUUUUCAUUUUCUCUAUUUUUUCUUUUCUUUUCACAUCGUAUUUACAAAACAGAUGUUUCUCUUUUCUAAUUUUUUUUUUUUAAUUUUCAAUGCUUGCUCGGUUUUUCAAGAGUUGUGGCACUUACCGAUUCUCAUUUUCGUUCUCCCCAACUUAUUUCUUACUCACCCUAAGUGAAUGCUCUUGACUUUUUACGGUAAAAGAACAAUUAUCAAAAUUUUUCCAAGUUUCAAAAAAAAGAUUUUUGACAUCUCGCUUUAUUUCAAGUUGAGAUUCAACUGUUUAAGCUCAAAGGGGUUAACGAAUACUCUCUCUGCUCACGGGUAAGUUGUAUUUGGAACUGGUUGUGCUCAAUAGAAAACAAGCGCCUUGAUCAUUUCUAAUUG
Molecule: long non-coding RNA, 390 nt
Filed under: Lathyrus oleraceus (garden pea)
Lineage: Eukaryota; Viridiplantae; Streptophyta; Magnoliopsida; Fabales; Fabaceae
Description: Pisum sativum (pea) long non-coding RNA (PSAT_LNC020146)
Source: RNAcentral